UAGUUACUUCGGCACUUGCAGCAGCCAUGCCGCGUGGGGGAGGAAGGCCCUUGGGUUGUAAACCCCUUUCUGCGGGGAAGAUAAUGACCGGUCCCUGAGAAAAAACCCUCGCUUAAUUCCUGGCAACAGCCCCCGUCAUUCCGAAGGGGGUAGGGUUUUUCGGAAUUUCCGGGGGUUAAGGGGUUCUAAGGGGGCUCGCGAAUCCGGGGUGAAAGGCCCGGACUUAACCUGGGACCCGGCCUUGAAACUUAGGGUCUUGAAUCCGGUGGAGGAUAUGGGAAUUUCCUUUGUAAAGGGAAAUUGGGUUUAUUGUGGGAAGAGAGAAAUUGGCAAAAGGCGUUCUGUUGACCCGCGCCGAACCCUAGGUGCGGAACGGCGGGGGACCAAAAGGAUUUAAAUCCCCGAUAGUCCCUGGCUUUAACGAAGUGCUACUACCUGUGGGCAAACUCUUCCCGCUGGGGGCCGAACCUCACAUUAUGCGUAUCCCCCGGGGAGAGCACCCACUCGGCUGAAACUCUCAUGGGAUGUGAGAGAUGAAACUCGAAGGAAUUUGACGGA
RNAcentral lists this ribosomal RNA (558 nucleotides) under uncultured bacterium. RNAcentral describes it as "bacterial SSU rRNA". It matches the Rfam family "Bacterial small subunit ribosomal RNA", at positions 359 to 917 of the family's 1533-position model. The record is from RNAcentral.